RNAcentral lists this ribosomal RNA (468 nucleotides) under uncultured bacterium. Its description in RNAcentral is "partial 16S ribosomal RNA". It matches the Rfam family "Bacterial small subunit ribosomal RNA", at positions 28 to 507 of the family's 1533-position model. The record is from RNAcentral.
GACGAACGCUGGCGGCGUGCUUAACACAUGCAAGUCGAACGGAAAGGCCCUGCUUUUGUGGGGCGCUCGAGUGGCGAACGGGUGAGUAACACGUGAGUAACCUGCCCUUGACUUUGGGAUAACUUCAGGAAACUGGGGCUAAUACCGGAUAGGAGCUCCUGCUGCAUGGUGGGGGUUGGAAAGUUUCGGCGGUUGGGGAUGGACUCGCGGCUUAUCAGCUUGUUGGUGGGGUAGUGGCUUACCAAGGCUUUGACGGGUAGCCGGCCUGAGAGGGUGACCGGCCACAUUGGGACUGCGAUACGGCCCAGACUCCUACGGGAGGCAGCAGUGGGGAAUAUUGCACAAUGAGCGGAAGCCUGAUGCAGCAACGCCGCGUGCGGGAUGACGGCCUUCGGGUUGUAAACCGCUUUCGCCUGUGACGAAGCGUGAGUGACGGUAAUGGGUAAAGAAGCACCGGCUAACUACGUG